This 359-nucleotide unclassified non-coding RNA is filed under the name Hevea brasiliensis (rubber tree). The record is from RNAcentral. Lineage: Eukaryota; Viridiplantae; Streptophyta; Magnoliopsida; Malpighiales; Euphorbiaceae.
UAAUCCAAAGUUCCGUAGCUGUGGACUUGUGAUAUUGAGCAUGUGAUUAGAAGUUUCCGGUAAUUUACUGUUUGGCGAAGGCCACAGUGGGGAUUUUUCCAUGGGAAGGUUCGGGAGUAGGAGAUAGUUGAAGAAAGUGAGGCCUUUUGGUGGUGUAGGGAUGGUUGGAGAAGCAUUGUUGCCUUAGGGUUUCUGGAGAAAACUGAAGAGUGCAACAGAGGUUUCGGUUUGGUGGUUCUUUCUUUUGGGUUUUGAAGAUAAAGCCUUUGAAAUUACAAGGCAUCGGUUUCCACUCUUACAUUCGGCCCUCCUUACACAUCUUACCAGGGAUGGGUCGUUUGUGCAGAACUGCAGAUGGC